UGGGGUUUUAGCUCAGUGGUAGAGUGCUUGUCUUGCAUUCAUGAGGCCCUGGGUUCGAUCCUCAGCACCACAU
This 73-nucleotide transfer RNA is filed under the name Marmota monax (woodchuck). Its description in RNAcentral is "tRNA.Ala". It matches the Rfam family "tRNA". From Rfam's summary of the family: Transfer RNA (tRNA) molecules are approximately 80 nucleotides in length. Their secondary structure includes four short double-helical elements and three loops (D, anti-codon, and T loops). Further hydrogen bonds mediate the characteristic L-shaped molecular structure. tRNAs have two regions of fundamental functional importance: the anti-codon, which is responsible for specific mRNA codon recognition, and the 3' end, to which the tRNAs corresponding amino acid is attached (by aminoacyl-tRNA synthetases). tRNAs cope with the degeneracy of the genetic code in two manners: having more than one tRNA (with a specific anti-codon) for a particular amino acid; and 'wobble' base-pairing, i.e. permitting non-standard base-pairing at the 3rd anti-codon position. The record is from RNAcentral. Lineage: Eukaryota; Metazoa; Chordata; Mammalia; Rodentia; Sciuridae.